UACGUAGGGUGCAAGCGUUGUCCGGAAUUAUUGGGCGUAAAGAGCUCGUAGGCGGUCUGUCGCGUCUGCUGUGAAAACUCGGGGCUUAACCCCGGGCCUGCAGUGGGUACGGGUAGACUAGAGUGCGGUAGGGGAGACUGGAAUUCCUGGUGUAGCGGUGAAAUGCGCAGAUAUCAGGAGGAACACCGGUGGCGAAGGCGGGUCUCUGGGCCGUAACUGACGCUGAGGAGCGAAAGCAUGGGGAGCGAACAGG
This 253-nucleotide ribosomal RNA is filed under the name uncultured bacterium. RNAcentral's name for it is "partial 16S ribosomal RNA". It matches the Rfam family "Bacterial small subunit ribosomal RNA", at positions 524 to 776 of the family's 1533-position model. The record is from RNAcentral.